This 297-nucleotide long non-coding RNA is filed under the name Brassica napus (rape). Its description in RNAcentral is "long non-coding RNA (BNAP_LNC005803)". Lineage: Eukaryota; Viridiplantae; Streptophyta; Magnoliopsida; Brassicales; Brassicaceae. The record is from RNAcentral.
GUGAUAUAAACACCAACAUUUAUACCAUUAGACUAAAAGAUACUUUGUACAUUGAUGACCGAAACUAAUAUAUAUUUAUGAAGAUCAUCUGUUUUAUUUUUUAAUGGGCCUAUGUAAAAACACUCAAUCGACCAAAUUAUCAUUCAAGCCCACCAAUAUUGAUAAUUAGCAAAUUACGGGUCGUCAUCACUCUUGCCCUUCUGUCAAUCAUGCCGACGUUCCGUAUGAACCCUAAUUUAGAGCUUCAUGAGUUCACCCAGCCUUUGCUAAAAAAAAAAAAGAGUUCACCCAGCCUCC